Molecule: long non-coding RNA, 215 nt
Organism: Nematolebias whitei (Rio pearlfish)
Lineage: Eukaryota; Metazoa; Chordata; Actinopteri; Cyprinodontiformes; Rivulidae
Exons: 3
Source: RefSeq, a predicted model, not a curated record
GAGAGUCGAAUUAAAGCCUGGGAUGAUCAAAUAAUGACCAAACAGAAGGAGCUGGAUCAUCUCACUGAUCUGGCAGCGAAUGCUUUUUCCACUGAGGAGCCACCAGACACUGUCUUUAAAGAACAACCCACAAUAGAACAAGAAGAACAAUCGGAGCAUCAGACGAAGGAGGACAGUGAUUCUUCCAUUAUUGACAUCUCAUCUAUUCAUCUCAA